AGAAUCAACGCUGGCGGCGUGCCUAACACAUGCAAGUCGAACGAGAAAGUGGAGCAAUCCAUUAGUAAAGUGGCGCACGGGUGAGUAACACGUGACUAACCUACCCUUGAGUGGGGGAUAACCUAGAGAAAUCUGGGCUAAUACCGCAUAAUACCUUCGGGUCAAAGGAGCAAUUCGCUUAAGGAGGGGGUCGCGGCCGAUUAGUUAGUUGGCGGGGUAAUGGCCCACCAAGACUAUGAUCGGUAUCCGGCCUGAGAGGGCGCACGGACACACUGGAACUGAAACACGGUCCAGACUCCUACGGGAGGCAGCAGUGGGGAAUUUUGCGCAAUGGGGGAAACCCUGACGCAGCAACGCCGCGUGGAGGAUGAAGCCCCUUGGGGCGUAAACUCCUUUCGAUCGGGACGAUAAUGACGGUACCGAGAGAAGAAGCCCCGGCUAACUUCGCGCCAGCAGCCGC
Molecule: ribosomal RNA, 460 nt
Filed under: uncultured bacterium
Lineage: Bacteria
Description: SSU rRNA
Rfam family: Bacterial small subunit ribosomal RNA
Source: RNAcentral